UAUACAAUAGUGAUCCCAUAAGAUUAUAAUACCAUAUUUUUACUGUACCUGUUCUAUGCCUGAAUGUUUAGACACACAGAUACUUAAUUGUGUUACAGUUGCCUACAGUACUCAGUAUAGUAACAUGCUGUGCAGGUUUGUAGCCUAGGAGCAACAGGCCAUAGCAUAUACUCCAGGUGUCUAGUAGGCUAUGUGUAGGUUAAGUUCUAUGAUGUUUGCACAACAAUGAAGUCAACUAACAAUGCAUUUCUCAGAAUAUAUCCCUG
RNAcentral lists this long non-coding RNA (266 nucleotides) under Homo sapiens (human). Its description in RNAcentral is "HSALNT0053159". The record is from RNAcentral. Lineage: Eukaryota; Metazoa; Chordata; Mammalia; Primates; Hominidae.